RNAcentral lists this long non-coding RNA (443 nucleotides) under Physcomitrium patens. Its description in RNAcentral is "long non-coding RNA (PPAT_LNC003629)". Lineage: Eukaryota; Viridiplantae; Streptophyta; Bryopsida; Funariales; Funariaceae. The record is from RNAcentral.
AUGGGCCCACACACACUUUGUUGUGCUAUUCAAGUAAGUUGAAGUCCUUUGCUAGUUGUUCUUCUUGAGUGGAAUAAAUCUUAUAAUAUUUCCUGAUGUUAGAGAUUGUAUCAUCUAAUCUUGUCUUUUGACUUGUGGAAGUUCUGAUUUGGGCCUUAUAGAUCUCUUACAUUAGUUUGAAGGUUCUUAAUUCCUAGGAUUGAGUGAUUAAGACCUUAUACAAAGACCUUGAUAGUAUCUUUGAUUUUGUCAUGAGAAAGUGAGUUUUAUGAGUGGAAGAACUAGCUGGUGAGGUUGAUGGGAUUUCACAUCCUAUUAGAAGCUUCAAAAGUUGAUUUGGGAGUGUUUGGAGUGAAGAAAUAUUCAUUUGUUUACAAGAGGGCAUUCUGAGAUUUUGCUAGUACAAAAUUAUUUUAGUGAUUUUAAGUACAUAGAGACUCCUU